RNAcentral lists this ribosomal RNA (656 nucleotides) under Pediococcus pentosaceus. RNAcentral describes it as "bacterial SSU rRNA". It matches the Rfam family "Bacterial small subunit ribosomal RNA", at positions 61 to 699 of the family's 1533-position model. Lineage: Bacteria; Bacillati; Bacillota; Bacilli; Lactobacillales; Lactobacillaceae. The record is from RNAcentral.
GACGUACUUGUACUGAUUGAGUAUUUUAACACGAAGUGAGUGGCGAACGGGUGAGUAACACGUGGGUAACCUGCCCAGAAGUAGGGGAUAACACCUGGAAACAGAUGCUAAUACCGUAUAACAGAGAAAACCGCAUGGUUUUCUUUUAAAAGAUGGCUCUGCUAUCACUUCUGGAUGGACCCGCGGCGUAUUAGCUAGUUGGUGAGGUAAAGGCUCACCAAGGCAGUGAUACGUAGCCGACCUGAGAGGGUAAUCGGCCACAUUGGGACUGAGACACGGCCCAGACUCCUACGGGAGGCAGCAGUAGGGAAUCUUCCACAAUGGACGCAAGUCUGAUGGAGCAACGCCGCGUGAGUGAAGAAGGGUUUCGGCUCGUAAAGCUCUGUUGUUAAAGAAGAACGUGGGUAAGAGUAACUGUUUACCCAGUGACGGUAUUUAACCAGAAAGCCACGGCUAACUACGUGCCAGCAGCCGCGGUAAUACGUAGGUGGCAAGCGUUAUCCGGAUUUAUUGGGCGUAAAGCGAGCGCAGGCGGUCUUUUAAGUCUAAUGUGAAAGCCUUCGGCUCAACCGAAGAAGUGCAUUGGAAACUGGGAGACUUGAGUGCAGAAGAGGACAGUGGAACUCCAUGUGUAGCGGUGAAAUGCGUAGAUAUAU